This 373-nucleotide ribosomal RNA is filed under the name uncultured bacterium. RNAcentral's name for it is "bacterial SSU rRNA". It matches the Rfam family "Bacterial small subunit ribosomal RNA", at positions 524 to 898 of the family's 1533-position model. The record is from RNAcentral.
UACGUAGGGGGCAAGCGUUGUCCGGAUUUACUGAGUGUAAAGGGUGCUCAGGCGGGUUUGUAAGUCAGAGGUGAAACUCCGAAGCUUAACUUCGGAACUGCCUUUGAUACUGCAUCCCUGGAGUUUGAGAGAGGCGAGUGGAAUAUCUGGUGUAGCAGUGAAAUGCGUAGAUAUCAGAUAGAACACCAAUGGCGAAGGCAGCUCGCUGGCUCAUAACUGACGCUAAAGCACGAAAGUGUGGGUAGCAAACAGGAUUAGAUACCCUGGUAGUCCACACCCUAAACGAUGAAUACUAGAUGUUGGUCCCUCUGGGGUCAGUAUCACAGCUAACGCAUUAAGUAUUCCACCUGGGAAGUACGAUCGCAAGGUUGAA